UCGUCACCAGCGCCACCAUCUAGUCUUUGUUUCUGUGCUGAGUCCCUUCUCUGUCUCCACACUACGCUAUGGCCAACACUUUCAGCGCACUCACUUCGCUCCCACCACCACCACCACUACUAUCACCACUCGUCCCACUACAACCUCCACUGCAAAGGAGAGAGAGAGGUGCUACAGUAAGCUUCCGGCUCCAAGCGACAACCCGGCGCCGUGUUUGGGACGUGAAGUGACAUGCACGGAUCUCCUUCAAAGAUGCCCGUGUCGUCGCCAAUCAGCCAACCACCUGGUCACCUGUUCUCACACCUUGAUUACAGGUGACUGAAGGGCUUUACACUCCUGCACUUUUCCACUCCACCCCACCCCCAACAUAAAAAAAAAAAGAAUAAAAGGUUAAUUCAAGUGUG
This is a long non-coding RNA of Portunus trituberculatus (swimming crab), 404 nucleotides long. RefSeq lists it as uncharacterized. Lineage: Eukaryota; Metazoa; Arthropoda; Malacostraca; Decapoda; Portunidae. The transcript has 2 exons. The record is from RefSeq and is a predicted model, not a curated record.